GUUGUUGCCUUUGCCAGUCAAGAGAAAUGGUCUCCUUUGGGUUGUGGGGUGUGUGAUGGUCUAGAAAGNCCAGGGGACCGUGCCCGGUCCUCCCGCUGGGUGCCCGAGCUGCGGCAGCAUCACGCAGAGGCAGCGCUGCUGUCACCAGCGCUCCCGGCUCCCAGGUUUGCCCGGCGCGGGAUCAUCCCCCGGAGAGCCCCGCAUCCCGGCGGCAGCACCGAGCCUCGGCGAUGCGGCUCCAAGACUGACCCUGCUGAGAGCCCCUGAGUUACUGAACUCUAUGAGCAGAGACCACUUGACUGCACUCAGCACCUUUCAGGACCAGGCUCUAGGAAAUGGUCAGAGGAGCGAAAGGAGCAUCACCAUUUUGAAACAAAACCAAGGGUACUGACACCCGGGGAGCGACGCUGCCGGAGUCCCCGCGCAGCCACGGCAGCCGAGGGGCGGACGAAGGUCGGCACCUGGAGAGGGAAGGUGGGUCGGAUGCUGUCUUUUUGCCUUCU
This 503-nucleotide long non-coding RNA is filed under the name Zonotrichia albicollis (white-throated sparrow). Its description in RNAcentral is "lncRNA (ENSZALG00000003062.1)". Lineage: Eukaryota; Metazoa; Chordata; Aves; Passeriformes; Passerellidae. The record is from RNAcentral.